RNAcentral lists this long non-coding RNA (800 nucleotides) under Nicotiana benthamiana. RNAcentral describes it as "long non-coding RNA (NBEN_LNC016517)". The record is from RNAcentral. Lineage: Eukaryota; Viridiplantae; Streptophyta; Magnoliopsida; Solanales; Solanaceae.
CUGAGCAUCCUCAUCUCCGCAACCUUCAUUCUCUGAACAUGAGAGUUCUUCACUGGCCAGCACUCCGCCCCAUACAACAUGGCAGGUCUAACCACGGCUCUAUAAAAUUUCUCCUUGAGUUUCUGUGGGACUUUCUUGUCACCCAGGACUCCUGAUGCAAGCCUCCACUUUGACCACCCAUCAGGACUUCUCCUCCGCACUUGCCCAAACCACCUCAGCCUCGCUUCUCGCAUCUUCUCAUCAAUCGGGGCCACCCCCACCUUCUCUCGGAUAACUUCAUUCUUAAUCUUAUCUAACCUGGUGAGCCCGAACAUCCACCUGAGCAUCNNNNNNNGGCCAGCACUCCGCCCCAUACAACAUUGCAGGUCUAACCACAGCUCUAUAAAAUUUCUCCUUGAGUUUCUGUGGGACUUUCUUGUCACCCAGGACUCCUGAUGCAAGCCUCCACUUUGACCACCCAUCAGGACUUCUCCUCCGCACUUGCCCAAACCACCUCAGCCUCGCUUCUCGCAUCUUCUCAUCCACUGGGACCACCCCCACCUUCUCUCGAAUAUCUUCAUUCUUAAUCUUAUCUAACCUGGUGAGCCAGCACAUAAACCUGAGCAUACUCAUCUCCGCAACCUUCAGCCUCUGAACAUGAGAGUUCUUCACUGGCCAGCCCUCCGCCCCAAACAACAUGGCAGGUCUAACCACAGCUCUAUAAAAUUUUCCCUUGAGUUUCUGUGGGACUUUCUUGUCACCCAGGAAUCCUGAUGCAAGCCUCCACUUUGACCACCUCGCUCCUAUACGAUGAGUGACGU